UACGUAGGUGGCAAGCGUUGUCCGGAAUUACUGGGCGUAAAGGGCUCGUAGGCGGCCAACUAAGUCAGACGUGAAAUCCCUCAGCUUAACUGGGGAACUGCGUCUGAUACUGGAUGGCUUGGAUUCGGGAGAGGAGUGCGGAAUUCCAGGUGUAGCGGUGAAAUGCGUAGAUAUCUGGAGGAACACCGGUGGCGAAGGCGGCAUUCUGGACCGACAUUGACGCUGAGGAGCGAAAGCCAGGGGAGCAAACGGG
Molecule: ribosomal RNA, 253 nt
Filed under: uncultured bacterium
Lineage: Bacteria
Description: partial 16S ribosomal RNA
Rfam family: Bacterial small subunit ribosomal RNA
Source: RNAcentral